This 1448-nucleotide ribosomal RNA is filed under the name Kocuria sp. E7. RNAcentral's name for it is "bacterial SSU rRNA". It matches the Rfam family "Bacterial small subunit ribosomal RNA". The record is from RNAcentral. Lineage: Bacteria; Bacillati; Actinomycetota; Actinomycetes; Micrococcales; Micrococcaceae.
GACGAACGCUGGCGGCGUGCUUAACACAUGCAAGUCGAACGAUGAUGCCCAGCUUGCUGGGCGGAUUAGUGGCGAACGGGUGAGUAAUACGUGAGUAACCUGCCCUUGACUCUGGGAUAAGCCUGGGAAACUGGGUCUAAUACUGGAUACUACCUCUUACCGCAUGGUGGGUGGUGGAAAGGGUUUUACUGGUUUUGGAUGGGCUCACGGCCUAUCAGCUUGUUGGUGGGGUAAUGGCUCACCAAGGCGACGACGGGUAGCCGGCCUGAGAGGGUGACCGGCCACACUGGGACUGAGACACGGCCCAGACUCCUACGGGAGGCAGCAGUGGGGAAUAUUGCACAAUGGGCGGAAGCCUGAUGCAGCGACGCCGCGUGAGGGAUGACGGCCUUCGGGUUGUAAACCUCUUUCAGUAGGGAAGAAGCGAGAGUGACGGUACCUGCAGAAGAAGCGCCGGCUAACUACGUGCCAGCAGCCGCGGUAAUACGUAGGGCGCAAGCGUUGUCCGGAAUUAUUGGGCGUAAAGAGCUCGUAGGCGGUUUGUCGCGUCUGCUGUGAAAGCCCGGGGCUCAACCCCGGGUCUGCAGUGGGUACGGGCAGACUAGAGUGCAGUAGGGGAGACUGGAAUUCCUGGUGUAGCGGUGAAAUGCGCAGAUAUCAGGAGGAACACCGAUGGCGAAGGCAGGUCUCUGGGCUGUUACUGACGCUGAGGAGCGAAAGCAUGGGGAGCGAACAGGAUUAGAUACCCUGGUAGUCCAUGCCGUAAACGUUGGGCACUAGGUGUGGGGGACAUUCCACGUUUUCCGCGCCGUAGCUAACGCAUUAAGUGCCCCGCCUGGGGAGUACGGCCGCAAGGCUAAAACUCAAAGGAAUUGACGGGGGCCCGCACAAGCGGCGGAGCAUGCGGAUUAAUUCGAUGCAACGCGAAGAACCUUACCAAGGCUUGACAUUCACCGGACCGCCCCAGAGAUGGGGUUUCCCUUCGGGGCUGGUGGACAGGUGGUGCAUGGUUGUCGUCAGCUCGUGUCGUGAGAUGUUGGGUUAAGUCCCGCAACGAGCGCAACCCUCGUUCUAUGUUGCCAGCACGUGAUGGUGGGGACUCAUAGGAGACUGCCGGGGUCAACUCGGAGGAAGGUGGGGAUGACGUCAAAUCAUCAUGCCCCUUAUGUCUUGGGCUUCACGCAUGCUACAAUGGCCGGUACAAAGGGUUGCGAUACUGUGAGGUGGAGCUAAUCCCAAAAAGCCGGUCUCAGUUCGGAUUGAGGUCUGCAACUCGACCUCAUGAAGUCGGAGUCGCUAGUAAUCGCAGAUCAGCAACGCUGCGGUGAAUACGUUCCCGGGCCUUGUACACACCGCCCGUCAAGUCACGAAAGUUGGUAACACCCGAAGCCGGUGGCCUAACCCCUUGUGGGAGGGAGCCGUCGAAGGUGGGACUGGCGAUUGGGACU